GAUGAACGCUGGCGGCGUGCCUAAUACAUGCAAGUCGAGCGAACGGACGAGAAGCUUGCUUCUCUGAUGUUAGCGGCGGACGGGUGAGUAACACGUGGAUAACCUACCUAUAAGACUGGGAUAACUUCGGGAAACCGGAGCUAAUACCGGAUGAUAUUUUUAACCGCAUGGUUCAAAAGUGAAAAACGGUCUUGCUGUCACUUAUAGAUGGAUCCGCGCUGCAUUAGCUAGUUGGUAAGGUAACGGCUUACCAAGGCAACGAUGCAUAGCCGACCUGAGAGGGUGAUCGGCCACACUGGAACUGAGACACGGUCCAGACUCCUACGGGAGGCAGCAGUAGGGAAUCUUCCGCAAUGGGCGAAAGCCUGACGGAGCAACGCCGCGUGAGUGAUGAAGGUCUUCGGAUCGUAAAACUCUGUUAUUAGGGAAGAACAUAUGUGUAAGUAACUGUGCACAUCUUGACGGUACCUAAUCAGAAAGCCACGGCUAACUACGUG
This 497-nucleotide ribosomal RNA is filed under the name uncultured bacterium. Its description in RNAcentral is "partial 16S ribosomal RNA". It matches the Rfam family "Bacterial small subunit ribosomal RNA", at positions 28 to 507 of the family's 1533-position model. The record is from RNAcentral.